RNAcentral lists this ribosomal RNA (253 nucleotides) under uncultured bacterium. RNAcentral's name for it is "partial 16S ribosomal RNA". It matches the Rfam family "Bacterial small subunit ribosomal RNA", at positions 524 to 776 of the family's 1533-position model. The record is from RNAcentral.
UACGUAGGUGGCAAGCGUUGUCCGGAUUUACUGGGUGUAAAGGGCGUGUAGCCGGGCUGACAAGUCAGAUGUGAAAUCCGGGGGCUCAACCCCUGAACUGCAUUUGAAACUGUUGGUCUUGAGUAUCGGAGAGGCAGGCGGAAUUCCUAGUGUAGCGGUGAAAUGCGUAGAUAUUAGGAGGAACACCAGUGGCGAAGGCGGCCUGCUAGACGACAACUGACGGUGAGGCGCGAAAGCGUGGGGAGCAAACAGG